Gallus gallus (chicken) is the source of this 1840-nucleotide long non-coding RNA. RefSeq lists it as uncharacterized. The transcript is spliced from 6 exons. The record is from RefSeq and is a predicted model, not a curated record. Lineage: Eukaryota; Metazoa; Chordata; Aves; Galliformes; Phasianidae.
AAAUCAUAAACUGUUCAGAGUUUCCUGCGAGUUUAGUGAAACACUUAAAGACUUGUCUGAAGUCUCUUCAAGCAUAUUCAAAUGCCUUCAGCCUAUAUGGCAGCUUGUUAGUACGGAAUGUUACCCUGCCAUUCUGUUUCCCCUGCUUUACUGAAGGAAGAUGUUCUUGGAAUAUUCAGCAAAAUUUACGCCCACUCAAGCUGCAUUACCCAGUGCUUGCAUGUUUGGAAUUCAUCUUUACUGAAGGGUGGAAAGUGCUCCGUAAUUCACAGGAACAACCUUUAAUAUACUGUACAUGGAUAUCCUGGAUACUACUGAGGACUAGAAGGAGGGAAUAAAACAUUACAAAGAGGAUCUUUCUCUACUGAAGAAAAAAGGAGUUCCAGUGAGCCUGAAUAACAUGUUUCAGGGUCCAUGAAACGCAUCUACAAGCAAAUUUGGAACUACUUGUCUUAGGAAAUAUGGAACUACAGGAUCAUGCCCAUAACUUCCAUAAGACAGAGUUUUGAGAACGGAAGAGGAAACUAUGUAAUAUUACAACUAUCACUAAAUGGGUAUCCAGUAUGUUCUCCCUGGCCAAAGCCUGGGAAAACUGGUAAGGCUGUCACAUGUAGCUGAAUUUCUUGCUCUGUGGUCAUUUCCUUUCACAAAACUGUCUGAAGCCAGUGUUGUUUCCUUAGCACUGCUAUUGUUACUUCUGCUAUUUUAAUGAAAGUAGCAUGGAUAUGUCUGCCCUACUAGGGAAAGAUGUUAACUGUAUAAAGGGGCACACUAUCCUUUUUCUGCUGGUGACCUCUGAUUAAGUCAUUCUUGUGUGUAGCCUUUGCAGUUCCAUCUGACACUGUAAAUGGAGACUUUUGAGCUGUAGGACACUCGUUACUAUGAAAAUUGUAGUUUAGUUUUCUUUUUUUUUUUUUUUUUUUUUUUUAAAUCCAUCUAAUAAUUCAUGCAAAUUUGAUUAGCAAAGAGAAGAAUAUUUUUCUAACUAUAAACAUUACCAGGGCUAAAAAAAAUUCUUUAUGUAUUUUUUUUGUAUUACUGAAAAGAGCACAACAUCCUGCUCCUUCUCCAUUUCAGUCUUCACCAUUUUCCUGCAAAAAUGGUGGUGCACAGCUGUAGAUUCUUUUGAAUUCCUCCUUCAGAAGGAAAGGUACAGUGUUUGUGAAUAACUGGCCUGACUGCCCAAGGCAAUCACCUAUCAUUGCUGUGUUAAGGACAGCAGCAUAAACUUCAAAGAGAUUGACACAGGUGAUUUUUGCCUGCAAUGAAUGGAGCUAGCUGUUAGUAGCUUUGGUUUUAUCUUGACAUGGAUGACUGGACAGCAUUCAAAAUCUCUAUCUUGGAAAUAUGACUUCUCUGUCUGGACGGAGUUCCAUGUAUUUUUUGAGUAGCAUCUCAUGCACACUUUCUAAACAUAACUGAAAGUGGUCUCUGUGUUUUCCUUAGUUCUUUUGUGUUUCCUGUCAUUAUCAAUGAAAGCAUUCAUUAUGAUUCUGAUCCCUUUUAUUGCAAAUAUAAAUAAAAUCUGACAAAUUUGUAAGUAAAUCCUUUAGUGCUGGAAGCUGAUAGAAUAGGGCAAAAAUUAAUUUUAUGCAUGAAAAAUCUCAUUAAGCAGCUUCAUGGAAAUAAAAGAAACUGGCAUCAGAGCCCAUGAUGUAUGCAGUUCAUUACUUUGCCAUUGCUGCCAUUCAGCCCAGCCUAUUAAUGCUGCUCAUAUGAGCUGUACUCUCCUUCACAGGAUCUGUGUUGGUCUACCUAUAUGACACAUAGGUCAAUGCAAUCUGGGGAAAAAUACCUUGCUAUUCUCAUACGUGUUCAGAAACUUAAUAAACACCAGAUG